UCAGCUGAUCGGCGGGUGGGCGGGGCUUCCACGGAGGCCUCCGUGUAGGCCUCUGUGAAGCCUGAACUCGAUUAGGGCCCAAGCAAGCCAGGAAGGAGGAGGCAGCCAGAGUGGCCACCACUGUUCUCUGCAGCAGAAGACCCCUUGCUGCCUUGCCCAACCCAGCAUUUGCCAGAAAGACCAGUGUGGGUUGGUGCUCCUUGAGUCCAGUUGCGUUCUUUGCUGGCCAUGCAUUUAGCCUACUGGGACCAUGAUAAAAACUUCCAUUUGAGAUGCAGCUGAAGUGAUGACUCAUGGAAAAUAUCUGCUAACAUGAAAUAAAGCAACUGCUGUGCUAUACAUGGAGCGAAACAGUGGACAAGGCAGACAUGAAAGGCUCAUCAGAUUCCACUGGACCGGAAUGUGUUUGAUUUUAACUUGAAAGGCAUUUAAGAACAAAAGUUAAGGAAACACCAACUAAUUACACAUCCUUAAAAGCUGAUGCGACACUUCAAAGAUCUGGGAAAGAAUAAAACCAUACAGGCACUGAAGUUGCUAUAACAGAAGUGGCAUAGCAUGGUGCUGGCUUUCAGGCUUUGAAGCAACCUCUAACAAUUCUCCUCCAGUUAGUGAACAUUUGUUUUUCUGAAAUGGAUUAGACUCUCUCUGCACAACAGGCAGUGGCUUCCAUUGCAUAGGGCUGAAGUCCAAAACAGCAACACCAUGUCAGAGGCAGGAAAUACUGCAUCAUAUCAGGCAGUUUUUGGUCUGACAAUGCAAACAUUCCACAGUUUAUUACCACUGCCUUAUGCUUAUUCAUUCUCUCUGCCUGCCCACAUGUCAGCCAGGCUGCUUAAGGAUCUACAGCACCAAAAGGAGGAUUCCAGGAAUUCCAACAGGCAGAAAGACACAGAAGAAUGUGGCCGGUAGCAAUGUAUGCCUGAUGUUUUCCUCAGCUUCUUACAAAGCAAGGCACAUCUGCAAGUGGCAAGAAAGCAACCAAGAAGGGUGCAUCAUUUGCAUUUUAGGUGUGAUUUUUAAAGGUUGUGUGUGUUUUUUUUUAAACA
This is a long non-coding RNA of Hemicordylus capensis (graceful crag lizard), 1046 nucleotides long. RefSeq lists it as uncharacterized. The record is from RefSeq and is a predicted model, not a curated record. NCBI's taxonomy places the organism in Eukaryota, Metazoa, Chordata, Lepidosauria, Squamata, Cordylidae. The transcript has 4 exons.